This is an RNA transcript of Octodon degus (degu), 1585 nucleotides long. It is a transcript of the gene named keratin, type II cytoskeletal 8 pseudogene, with no coding region annotated. NCBI's taxonomy places the organism in Eukaryota, Metazoa, Chordata, Mammalia, Rodentia, Octodontidae. The transcript has a single exon. The record is from RefSeq and is a predicted model, not a curated record.
CAGAAGCGGCUGCCAGGCUCUUUCUCCAGUCUCUAUCUUCAGUUCGCCUGCCUCCACUCUAGCCUCCACCAUGUCCAUAAGGGUGACCCAGAAGUCCUACAAGGUGUCCACCUCCGGCCCCCAGGCCUUCAGCAGCCUCUCCUACACCAGCGGGCCUGCCUCCCGCAUCAGCUCCUCCAGCUUCUCCCGAAUGGGCAGCAGCGGCAGCUUCUGGGGCGGCAUGGGGCUGGGUGGCUAUGGAGGGGCUGGUGGUGUGGGGAGCAUCACGGCCGUCCAGGUGAACCAGAGCCUGCUGAACCCCCUGAAUCUGGAGGUGGACCCCAACAUCCAGGCCGUGCGUAUACAGGAGAAAGAGCAGAUCAAGAACCUCAACAACAAGUUCGCCUCCUUCAUCGACAAGGUUCGAUUUCUGGAGCAACAGAAUAAGAUGCUGGAGACCAAGUGGAGCCUCCUGCAACAGCAGAAGACAUCUCGGAGUAACAUGGACAACAUGUUCGAAAGCUACAUCAACAACCUCCGGCGGCAGCUGGACUCACUGGGUCAGGAGAAAAUGAAGCUGGAGGCGGAGCUUGGCAACAUGCAGGGGCUGGUGGAGGACUUCAAGAAUAAAUAUGAAGAUGAGAUCAACAAGCGUACAGAGAUGGAGAAUGAAUUUGUCCUCAUCGAGAAGGAUGUGGAUGAAGCUUACAUGAACAAGGUGGAGCUUGAGUCACGCCUGGAAGGACUGACUGAUGAGAUCAACUUCCUCAGGCAGCUGUAUGAAGAGGAGAUACGUGAGCUGCAGUCUCAGAUCUCGGACACAUCUGUGGUGCUGUCCAUGGACAACAGCCGCUCCCUGGACCUGGACGGGAUCAUCACCAAGGUCAAGGCCCAGUACGAGGAGAUCGCCAACCGCAGCCGUGCCGAGGCUGAGAGCAUGUACCAGAUCAAGUAUGAAGAGUUGCAGACUCUGGCUGGGAAGCAUGGGGAUGACCUCCGCCGCACGAAGACUGAGAUCUCUGAGAUAACCCGCAGCAUCAGCCGCCUGCAGGCGGAGAUUGAGGCCCUCAAAGGCCAGAGAGCAUCCCUGGAGGCUGCCAUCGCUGAUGCCAAGCAGCGUGGGGAGAUGGCCAUUAAGGAUGCCAAUGCCAAGCUGGCCCAGCUGGAGGCUGCCCUGCAGAAGGCCAAGCAGGACAUGGCCCGGCAGCUGCGCGAGUACCAGGAGCUCAUGAAUGUCAAGCUGGCGCUGGACAUCGAGAUCGCCACCUACCGCAAGCUGCUGGAGGGCGAGGAAAACAGGCUGGAGGCUGGGAUGCAGAACUUGAGCAUCCACACGAAGACCACCAGUGGCUAUUCAGGAAUGGUGAGCUCACCCUAUGGGGGCCUCACAAGCCCUGGCUUCGCGAGCAUCCAAAGCCCUGGCUUCACCCGCACCAAGUCUGCUGUGGUUGUGAAGAAGAUCGAGACCUGCGAUGGAAAGCUGGUGUCUGAGACCUCGCUCGGAUGUCCUGCCCAAGUGAGUGGGCCACAGCAGCCGCUCCAGCCCGCACCUCUCACGAGGCCACCCCAGAGCCCGUGGGGAGACAGCUGUACAAGGGAGCACUGA